This 490-nucleotide ribosomal RNA is filed under the name uncultured Allobaculum sp. RNAcentral's name for it is "partial 16S ribosomal RNA". Lineage: Bacteria; Bacillati; Bacillota; Erysipelotrichia; Erysipelotrichales; Erysipelotrichaceae. The record is from RNAcentral.
CACGUGGUUAGCCGUGACUUCCUCGCCGGGUACCAUCACUCAGAAAGCUUUCCACUCUUUCUGCCUUUUGUCCCCGGCAACAGAGCUUUACGAUCCGAAGACCUUCCUCGCUCACGCGGCAUUGCUCGUUCAGGGUUCCCCCCAUUGACGAAAAUUCCCUACUGCUGCCUCCCGCAGGAGUCUGGGCCGUGUCUCAGUCCCAGUGUGGCCGUCCGCCCUCUCAGGCCGGCUAUGCAUCGUCGCCUUGGUGAGCCGUUACCUCUCCAACCAGCUAAUGCACCGCAGGUCCAUCUGCAUGCGGGACUCUUGUCCCCUUUCAAAAAGAGAUGCCUCCUCUUUGCUCAUCCGGUAUCAGUCUUCCGUUCCAGAAGUUCCUCCCGCUCAUGCAGGCAGGUUCCCUACGUGUUACUCACCCGUUCGCCACUCAUAUCCGAAGAUAUCCGUUCGACUUGCAUGUAUUAGGCAUGCCGCAGUCGUUCAUCCUGACGCC